Molecule: unclassified non-coding RNA, 317 nt
Filed under: plant metagenome
Description: partial contains 5.8S ribosomal RNA, internal transcribed spacer 2, and large subunit ribosomal RNA
Rfam family: 5.8S ribosomal RNA (bases 1-105)
Source: RNAcentral
GAAAUGCGAUAAGUAAUGUGAAUUGCAGAAUUCAGUGAAUCAUCGAAUCUUUGAACGCACAUUGCGCCCGCCAGUAUUCUGGCGGGCAUGCCUGUUCGAGCGUCAUUACAACCCUCAGGCCCCCGGGCCUGGCGUUGGGGAUCGGCAGCCCCCUGCGGGCACAACGCCGUCCCCCAAAUACAGUGGCGGUCCCGCCGCAGCUUCCAUUGCGUAGUAGCUAACACCUCGCAACUGGAGAGCGGCGCGGCCACGCCGUAAAACACCCAACUUCUGAAUGUUGACCUCGAAUCAGGUAGGAAUACCCGCUGAACUUAAGC